CCCUUUGUAAACUGUAAUCCCACAACCUAAAACAACGCAAAGGGCAUUUUCAAUGAACCUUUUUUAAUUUGAAGUAUCGAUUUAGUUAAUUCCUCUUUAACUUUCUUUUAGUUGUUUAAUGCGUAAUUCAUUACCAACGCACUUACGAUAAUCAUGGCACCAUUUCUUUAAUCACCCCAAAAGUCCAUUCCCUCUUUUUUUUUUUUUUACAUCGAAAAUAAAACCUUAAAAAACUAGUUAGCAGCUUCGUGGCCAGCGUAAGGAGCUAGUCAGCUUGGUGCAAAGCAGUUGACGAAAUGGGAUCCAAACACUCGUGAUCUUCCUCCUUUAGCAAGAGAGUCAACACGGAGAUUCAUCGAUCUUGGGAUAUAUGCUAUUGAGAAUUCGGUAAAAUCAGCGGAAAGAGCUUUAAUCUCAUCAAGUUCUGGCUCCAUUGCUGGCCAAUCUUUGUCCUCCUCUAAUAGCUUGAUUAAUUGCUCACAAUCUGAUUCAAAUCGGAUCUCUCUGUUUCCUAGCUUCAAUACCUCGUGCAUAGCCCACAAUAAACCUUCAGCUUAUGCGUGGAGAGGGGAUGUCGCCUGUCUUGUUCCUUGUGCUCCGAAGAGGACCGAGUUCCAUCAUCAAGUAAUACAAAUCCCAAUCCAGCUCUGUCAUUCUCUGUUUUCCAAGACGCAUCCGUUUGGCAUCUCCAACGAGCUGAAUGAGGUGCCUGCAACACGAUGUUCACAGCUUUAUGUUGUUCUUCUGCGUCUAUUUGCGGUUCCACAUCUAUUAUCCGCGCAAGCAGCCAGCUUUCAGCUUCCUUAACAGCAAGUUGGAGUGUAUCCAUUGAUAUACCAAGCAAUCCAUGGAAAUGCAGCCAGCACGUCUGGACUCACUCCACUUGCCUUUGCACGGAAUAGCAGAAAUUCUAUAUUUGAGAAUAAAGAGUUACACGGGAAGGACCCCGGAGGAGAUGGUAUCGAGCAUAGGGUCCAGCACUGCAGCGCCGGUGGACAUUCGAACAGAGUGCGGUUAAUCGACUCGCUUUCACCACCGCAUCGAGUACAUGUACUCUCUCUAGCACAGUGCCAGUCCUUCAAUUGUUUCACGGUAGCUAGGAGGAGGCCGCAUAAUAGAGGUCAUGAGCAACUAUGUAGCAUGACUUAACUGUAUAUAGCCCCGAUUUUGUGAAGUCCCAACAGUAGCUGUCCUGGCGACCUGUACGACUAAGGCGGAGCGAGGUUACUCUGGGUAUGUCUUAUGUUGCCACAAGAUCGUUUAACAAUUCAAGGUUCCAAGAGUGGUUCUGCUCGUUGAUUAGGUGAUGGACACGGAGGUUCUCAUCCCGAUGAUCUGCAGCAUUUAGCGGAGGUCACGCUGGAUUCGUCGGAAGCCAGGGUUCGUCCCAUACCUUUGUAUCAUAUCAAUUCCCAAUCUUUUUCCUGAGACCCUUCCGGAGAACUUCUUUCGAUGCUACUAUACUUCGCCAUCCAUAUGACGGGUUGUUUGCUUUUUCAACUUGCAUUGAAGUAGAGUGUCUGUAGUAUCUUCCUUUGAGUACUCGAGCUAAGAGUGAAUGUGGGUACUUUAGCAAUUUCCACAGCUGUUUUGCUAGUAAGGCAAUGUUAAACUCGUGAAAAUCACGGAAACCCAGUCCACCCUUUUUCAUUGGUACACAUAUUUUAUCCCAAGCAACCCAAUGAAGUUCUCUAUUAUUGAAUUUAGUACUCCACCAAAAUCGUGCGACAGUGCUCGUCAGAUUUUUUGUUAUUCCUUUUGGAAGUAGAUAACAAGACAUAGUGUAGGAGGGUACUGCCUGGGCUACGGCUUUAAUCUGAACCUCUAUGCCGCCUUUUGAUAAGAGCUUCGUCGACCAUGAGUUUGUACGAUCCGAGAGGCGCUCUUGGACGAAGCUAAACACCUGUUUCUUAGAGCCACAUAUCUUUUCCGGUAGUCCGAUGUACAUGCCCAUUCCACCUUCUUGAUUAAUGGCCAGUGACCUUUUCAGGUCAGUUUUUGAGAACUCUACAACCUUAGAACUGAACAUAACUGAAGACUUGGAUUUAUUCAGUCGUUAUCCAGAGGCGUUACGAGAUAAUCUUAUAUUAUUAUAUAAAAACAUGGUUUACUUAUCUAAACAUUUUAAACAUCAACAAAUAUGGGUCGACGAGCUUCACGCUUUUUCCAACGUCUAUAGGCUCAAUCUACGUUAUACAGUACAAGUCAACUUCAAUGAUUAAUAUACCUAUAACAAAACUUGAAUAAACUUUGUCUUUUCUGCUGAUGAUUUUUGUUUUGGGAAAUCUUUGAUUCAUUUGUGAUCAAUCUACAGAAAGCAAGAGAUUACAAAACUUCUCUAUCUAACUGAAUAGUGUUGCAACAAAUAAAGAUUUAGAAGCACAUAUAAAAUGUGUGAAUCAAGGAAGUACCAACAACUAGAUCUUAAUUGCCAUUUCUAGGAAUUAUGCUUAUUCUCACACUUAUAGAGUCAAUUUUUUCGGUGACUCACUUUAUCGUCUCUCUUCCUUUUAUAGAGGAAAUGUCUUGUGUUUAUCCUGUAUUUGCUCAUUCACUCGAGCUACUCGACGACACAAACACUGGCCCAUCCUUACCAUUGAUACAACUACAAAGUAUGUGGUUAUAUAGCAUAUGAAUUUGCUUAUUAUUUGUUUUAUUUCGUUUUGUUAAUAGUUGAACUACCAGCUGAUAAUACAUAUGAUAUCUAAGUCGUUUGUUUUUACUUGUUUUGUAAUCAUAGGGUUUGAGGCAAAACGAAGAUUAAUACUUGGAGCAUGUAGAGCGACGGGCAUUUGUUAAACGGUUAUAGUAUAUCCAUUUAUGUGAGAUUAGGAGAUGUUAAAUGAUAUGUGGGCAUUGUAAAGUCGUAUUUAUAUAAUGGAAACAUACAUAACCCUACAUCGGGGUCAUAACUUCGAUUCAAUUUGUCAUUGAAUCAAAAGGAACAAAAUUUUGGAUUUUGUGGGUCUAAAAUAUUCACAAGGGCUUACAAUAUUAGUGAAGAGUCAUAACCUUAUUUAAAACACAAAAGGAUAAUAAGAAUAAAACAAUCCUUUUCAUAUGAAAGUGCUCCAAGAAAAAUACAAAAACUAAAGGAGCAUUAGGGAGACAAUGUUAGUAAUCCACACCGAGUUAAUGCCAAGCUGCAUCAUCAUCAAUUAAGCAUGUCUCUUCUUUAUUUCACACAUUCAAAUGUUAUUUUCUUAAUCUCUCUCUCUCUGUAAAUUAAUGAUGAUGAUCGUGAUCACUUCUUUUUAUUUUUGGGUAUGUUGUGACCCAUAAACGACAACACUUUUCCUUUUUUAGGUUUUAUAAUUUUCUAUGGGAAUGGUCCUAUUGGAUGUCACUUGUAUAUUGAAAUUAUGUUUUGUCUGAUAUCAUCAUUUAUAAUAUUCAUCACAGUUUCGCGCAAUUGUAAAUUUAACAUUAGUUCCAAUAUAUUUUUCUUUAAAUGGACAUGUAUAUGUAUACAUUAAAUACCAUAAAUGCUUUCAUUUUUGUCAAUGAACUCUUCGUAAAAACCCUCAAACAAAAUGCAAACCAUGCGGUAAUAGAGAGAAAAAGGCAAAUCUUGCUAAAUCAACAACUUGAGAACUGUUUCCUCUAGAAAUAAAUCGAAGCUAAAAGGAGGAGAAGAAAGCAAAGCCAUUACGUCCAGGAGAGUGAAAUGAUAUGUUUUUAAUCCAUUUCAGUUUGAUCACACUUUCACUAGUCUUUUUUUUUUUUUUUUUGAAAAGACUUUCACUAGUCUUUCAAUGCCGCUUAUGUAUGAUCCGAAAUAUAUUAUUUUCUAAGAAAAAAAAUUAAAUGCUAAGUUUUUGGUAGUUUUGAGGUUUUUGAAAAGUUAAAAAAAGAAGAGAUUAAUUGAAAUAAUGGCAGUUGAUGAAAAGUAACGGUUCAGAGAUUAUGUGAUUUAGAGUAAACUAGGUUAAUACCCGCGCUUUGUAUUUGCGCGGGAUCAACAUUACAUAUAAAAAUUAUUUUAUGUAUUAAAUAUUUUUACAUAUUAUGAAACAAUAAAUAUAUAUUAAAUAAUUAAAAGUCAGUAA
Molecule: long non-coding RNA, 4049 nt
Organism: Brassica napus (rape)
Lineage: Eukaryota; Viridiplantae; Streptophyta; Magnoliopsida; Brassicales; Brassicaceae
Exons: 3
Source: RefSeq, a predicted model, not a curated record